This 474-nucleotide ribosomal RNA is filed under the name uncultured bacterium. RNAcentral describes it as "bacterial SSU rRNA". It matches the Rfam family "Bacterial small subunit ribosomal RNA", at positions 28 to 507 of the family's 1533-position model. The record is from RNAcentral.
GAUGAACGCUGGCGGCGUGCCUAAUACAUGCAAGUCGAACGGAGAUUCUGUCGUAAUUCGUUACAGCGGAAAUCUCAGUGGCGAACAGGUGAGUAACGCGUUGGUGACCUGCCCCGGAGAGGGGGAUAACAGCUUGAAAGGGCUGCUAAUACCCCAUGAUGUCUAGAGGGUUAGAAACUUCUAGACGAAAGGCUUCGGUCGCUUCGGGAGGGGCCUGCGUCCCAUCAGCUAGUUGGUAGGGUAAUGGCCUACCAAGGCGAAGACGGGUAGGGGACCUGAGAGGGUGACCCCCCACAAUGGAACUGAAACACGGUCCAUACACCUACGGGUGGCAGCAGUAGGGAAUAUUGCACAAUGGGCGAAAGCCUGAUGCAGCAACGCCGCGUGCGCGAAGAAGGCCUUCGGGUUGUAAAGCGCUUUUCGGGGAGAAGAGAAAGGACGGUAUCCCCGGAAUAAGGAUCGGCUAACUACGUG